UCACCGGGUGUUUUUCACCCUC
RNAcentral lists this microRNA (22 nucleotides) under Schistosoma mansoni. RNAcentral's name for it is "sma-miR-8457-3p". The record is from miRBase by way of RNAcentral. Lineage: Eukaryota; Metazoa; Platyhelminthes; Trematoda; Strigeidida; Schistosomatidae.